This 270-nucleotide ribosomal RNA is filed under the name uncultured archaeon. RNAcentral describes it as "partial 16S ribosomal RNA". It matches the Rfam family "Archaeal small subunit ribosomal RNA", at positions 477 to 747 of the family's 1478-position model. The record is from RNAcentral.
CAGCACCUCAAGUGGUCAGGAUGAUUAUUGGGCCUAAAGCAUCCGUAGCCUGCUCUGUUAGUUUUCGGUUAAAUCCAUACGCUCAACGUAUGGGCUGCCGGGAAUACUGCAAAGCUAGGGAGUGGGAGAGGUAGACGGUACUCGGUAGGAAGGGGUAAAAUCCUUUGAUCUAUUGAUGACCACCUGUGGCGAAGGCGGUCUACCAGAACACGUCCGACGGUGAGGGAUGAAAGCUGGGGGAGCAAACCGGAUUAGAUACCCGAGUAGUCC